ACGACGGCAACGUUAAAACUCAAAGGAAUAGACGGGGACCUACACAAGCGGUGGACCAUGUGGCUCAAUUCGACAACAAGCGAAGAACCUUACCAGGGCUAGAAACUCCAAUGAAACUCUGAUGAAAGUCAGAGCUACCCACAAGGACAUUGGGGCAGGUGCUGCACGGCUGUUGUCAGCAGGUAUCUUGAGACGCAUGCUUAGAUGCCAAAACCUGCGCAACCCUUAUCGUGUGUUUUAUCUGUCACACGAAACUGCCCGGGAUAACCGGGAGGAAGGCGAGGAUGACACCAAGUCAGCGUGGCCCUUUGAUGCCCUGGGCUGCACACGUGGUACAAUGGCCGGAACAAUGGGUUGCUAAGCCGCAAGGCGGAGCUAAUCCCAUCAAAUCCGGUCUUAGUUCGGAUUGAGGUCUGCAACCUGACCUCAUGAAGCCGGAAUCGCUAGUAAUCGCCAAUCAGCCACGUGGCGAUGAAUACGUUCCUAGGUCUUGUACUCAC
RNAcentral lists this ribosomal RNA (500 nucleotides) under Candidatus Nealsonbacteria bacterium CG_4_9_14_3_um_filter_37_13. Its description in RNAcentral is "bacterial SSU rRNA". It matches the Rfam family "Bacterial small subunit ribosomal RNA", at positions 882 to 1390 of the family's 1533-position model. The record is from RNAcentral. Lineage: Bacteria; Candidatus Nealsoniibacteriota.